RNAcentral lists this ribosomal RNA (121 nucleotides) under Diaphorina citri (Asian citrus psyllid). Lineage: Eukaryota; Metazoa; Arthropoda; Insecta; Hemiptera; Psyllidae. The record is from RNAcentral.
GCGCGGCAAUAGUACCUUGAAAGCACACCAGUUCCGCAUAGAUCACUGAAGUUGAGCACGGUUGCGCGUGGUUAGUACCUGGAUGGGUGACCAUCUGAUAGCCAAUAGCGUGCUGCUAGCU